This 481-nucleotide ribosomal RNA is filed under the name uncultured bacterium. RNAcentral's name for it is "bacterial SSU rRNA". It matches the Rfam family "Bacterial small subunit ribosomal RNA", at positions 903 to 1397 of the family's 1533-position model. The record is from RNAcentral.
AAAUGAAUAGACGGGGAGGCGCACAACCAGUGGAGCAUGUGGUUUAAUUCGAUACAAAGCGUUGGACCUCACCUAGGUUUGACAUGUACCUGCACGGUUUCCGAAAGGAUUCCUUCUUCGAGAGUGGUACACAGCUGCUGCAUGGCUGUCGUCAGUUCGUGUCGUGAGACGUCCACUUAAGUGUGGUAACGAACGCAACCCGCACCCUGUGUUAAAUACUCACAGGGAACUGCCUCGCAAAAAGCGGGGAGGAAGGAGCGGAUGACGUCAAGUCAGCAUGGUGCUUACACCUAGGGCAACACACAUCCUACAAUGGAGCCGACAACGGGUUUGCUAAGCCGCGAGGUGGAGCUAAUCCCUAAAACGGCCCCUCAGUUCAGAUUGCAGGCUGCAACUCGCCUGCAUGAAGUUGGAAUUGGUAGUAAUCGCGGAUCAGCAGGCCGCGGUGAAUACGUUCUCGCCUCUUGUACACACCGCCCGU